GGACGAAAGUCUGACGGAGCAACGCCGCGUGAGUGAUGAAGGUUUUCGGAUCGUAAAGCUCUGUUGUUAGGGAAGAACAAGUGCGAGAGUAACUGCUCGCACCUUGACGGUACCUAACCAGAAAGCCCCGGCUAACUACGUGCCAGCAGCCGCGGUAAUACGUAGGGGGCGAGCGUUGUCCGGAAUUAUUGGGCGUAAAGCGCGCGCAGGCGGUCCUUUAAGUCUGAUGUGAAAGCCCACGGCUUAACCGUGGAGGGUCAUUGGAAACUGGAGGACUUGAGUACAGAAGAGGAGAGUGGAAUUCCACGUGUAGCGGUGAAAUGCGUAGAGAUGUGGAGGAACACCAGUGGCGAAGGCGACUCUCUGGUCUGUUACUGACGCUGAGGCGCGAAAGCGUGGGGAGCGAACAGGAUUAGAUACUCUGGUAGUCCACGCCGUAAACGAUGAGUGCUAGGUGUUAGGGGGUUUCCGCCCCUUAGUGCUGCAGCUAACGCAUUAAGCACUCCGCCUGGGGAGUACGGUCGCAAGACUGAAACU
RNAcentral lists this ribosomal RNA (537 nucleotides) under uncultured bacterium. Its description in RNAcentral is "bacterial SSU rRNA". It matches the Rfam family "Bacterial small subunit ribosomal RNA", at positions 373 to 901 of the family's 1533-position model. The record is from RNAcentral.